This 497-nucleotide ribosomal RNA is filed under the name uncultured bacterium. Its description in RNAcentral is "partial 16S ribosomal RNA". It matches the Rfam family "Bacterial small subunit ribosomal RNA", at positions 28 to 507 of the family's 1533-position model. The record is from RNAcentral.
GAUGAACGCUGGCGGCGUGCCUAAUACAUGCAAGUCGAGCGAACGGACGAGAAGCUUGCUUCUCUGAUGUUAGCGGCGGACGGGUGAGUAACACGUGGAUAACCUACCUAUAAGACUGGGAUAACUUCGGGAAACCGGAGCUAAUACCGGAUAAUAUUUUGAACCGAAUGGUUCAAAAGUGAAAGACGGUCUUGCUGUCACUUAUAGAUGGAUCCGCGCUGCAUUAGCUAGUUGGUAAGGUAACGGCUUACCAAGGCAACGAUGCAUAGCCGACCUGAGAGGGUGAUCGGCCACACUGGUACUGAGACACGGUCCAGACUCGUACGGGAGGCAGCAGUAGGGAAUCUUCCGCAAUGGGCGAAAGCCUGACGGAGCAACGCCGCGUGAGUGAUGAAGGUCUUCGGAGCGUAAAACUCUGUUAUUAGGGAAGAACAUAUGUGUAAGUAACUGUGCACAUCUUGACGGUACCUAAUCAGAAAGCCACGGCUAACUACGUG